AGUGAACGCUGGCGGUAGGCCUAACACAUGCAAGUCGAACGGCAGCACAGUAAGAGCUUGCUCUUACGGGUGGCGAGUGGCGGACGGGUGAGGAAUACAUCGGAAUCUACUUUUUCGUGGGGGAUAACGUAGGGAAACUUACGCUAAUACCGCAUACGACCUACGGGUGAAAGCAGGGGAUCUUCGGACCUUGCGCGAUUGAAUGAGCCGAUUUCGGAUUAGCUAGUUGGCGGGGUAAAGGCCCACCAAGGCGACGAUCCGUAGCUGGUCUGAGAGGAUGACCAGCCACACUGGAACUGAGACACGGUCCAGACUCCUACGGGAGGCAGCAGUGGGGAAUAUUGGACAACGGGCGCAAGCCUGAUCCAGCCAUACCGCGUGGGUGAAGAAGGCCUUCGGGUUGUAAAGCCCUUUUGUUGGGAAAGAAAAGCAGCAGGUUAAUACCCCGCUGUUCUGACGGUACCCAAAGAAUAAGCACCGGCUAACUUCGUG
RNAcentral lists this ribosomal RNA (492 nucleotides) under uncultured bacterium. RNAcentral's name for it is "partial 16S ribosomal RNA". It matches the Rfam family "Bacterial small subunit ribosomal RNA", at positions 29 to 507 of the family's 1533-position model. The record is from RNAcentral.